CGGGACGGGUGAGUAACGCGUGGAAAACCUGCCGUAUACUGGGGGAUAACACUUAGAAAUAGGUGCUAAUACCGCAUAAGCGCACAGCUUCGCAUGAAGCAGUGUGAAAAACUCCGGUGGUAUACGAUGGUUCCGCGUCUGAUUAGCUAGUUGGUGAGGUAAAAGCCCACCAAGGCAACGAUCAGUAGCCGGCCUGAGAGGGUGAACGGCCACAUUGGGACUGAGACACAGACCAGACUCCUACGGAAGGCAGCAG
This 256-nucleotide ribosomal RNA is filed under the name uncultured bacterium. Its description in RNAcentral is "partial 16S ribosomal RNA". It matches the Rfam family "Bacterial small subunit ribosomal RNA", at positions 98 to 354 of the family's 1533-position model. The record is from RNAcentral.